CCCCCAUUAGCUCAGUCGGUUAGAGCGCUGGUCUUAUGAGCCGGAGGUCAUGGGUUCGAGCCCCAUACGGGGGA
Non-coding RNA from Cymbomonas tetramitiformis, 74 nucleotides. NCBI's taxonomy places the organism in Eukaryota, Viridiplantae, Chlorophyta, Pyramimonadophyceae, Pyramimonadales, Pyramimonadaceae. The record is from the annotation of a GenBank genome assembly.